CAGACAGACACACAAACAGAAACAUCUGUUUGUUGAGCUGCUUUUGUUAUCCGGUUAGAUUCAAAACUAGUUACAAUGCAGGGGAGUCAGAGACCACAAUUC
Molecule: long non-coding RNA, 102 nt
Organism: Pundamilia nyererei
Lineage: Eukaryota; Metazoa; Chordata; Actinopteri; Cichliformes; Cichlidae
Exons: 3
Source: RefSeq, a predicted model, not a curated record